GGUGGUUCUCGGGUGACGCACCCUGGAAUCAGGCUCCCUCCUCUCUGGUUCCAGGUGUGUCACCGCAGAUGCC
Molecule: non-coding RNA, 73 nt
Organism: Myotis lucifugus (little brown bat)
Lineage: Eukaryota; Metazoa; Chordata; Mammalia; Chiroptera; Vespertilionidae
Source: Rfam